UGCCAGCCGCCGCGGUAACACGGGGGGCGCAAGCGUUAUUCGGAAUUAUUGGGCGUAAAGGGCGCGCAGGCGGUCUUGUCCGUCAGGUGUGAAAGCUCGGGGCUCAACCCCGGAAGUGCACUUGAAACAGCAAGACUUGAAUACGGUAGAGGAGAGAGGAAUUCCUGGUGUAGAGGUGAAAUUCGUAGAUAUCCGGAGGAACGCCGGUGGCGAAAGCGACCUUCUGGGGUGCUUGUGACGCUGAGGCGCGAAAGCUAGGGGAGCGAACGGGAUUAGAUA
RNAcentral lists this ribosomal RNA (279 nucleotides) under uncultured bacterium. RNAcentral's name for it is "partial 16S ribosomal RNA". It matches the Rfam family "Bacterial small subunit ribosomal RNA", at positions 506 to 784 of the family's 1533-position model. The record is from RNAcentral.